GGAUGGAUAGCUCAGUGGUUUGAGCACUGGUCUGCUAAACCCAGGGUUGUAAACUCAAUCCU
Non-coding RNA from Chelonia mydas (Green sea turtle), 62 nucleotides. The record is from Rfam. Lineage: Eukaryota; Metazoa; Chordata; Testudines; Cheloniidae.